This is a long non-coding RNA of Salvia splendens (bonfire salvia), 1592 nucleotides long. RefSeq lists it as uncharacterized. The transcript has 7 exons. The record is from RefSeq and is a predicted model, not a curated record. NCBI's taxonomy places the organism in Eukaryota, Viridiplantae, Streptophyta, Magnoliopsida, Lamiales, Lamiaceae.
UCAAUUGUGGUACACAUAAUUUGAGGAAUUCCCAUUCUUUCGGUCAAACCUUUUUCAUUAGAUUUAGAGUAUAUUUCUUCAAAAUGGAGAAGUUCCCCCAAUUUCUACCGCAAUUUUCCUCAGUUCCUACUGCGCUCUAUGAUCUCCUUCCACCACGCUCGAUUGAGGUUAUGAUAUAGUGGCGAGUUUUAUGCUGAGCAAGCCAGCUUCUUUUCUCCAAGUCCAAGAUUUUGUCUUGGAGAAAUGCACACGAGUCAGGUUUGGGAUAACAGAACUUCACUUUCUCCCCUUCAACCCAACUGACAAGAAGUCGCACACACCUACUUACAGGUUAUGCUAAAAUGCACCAAGUCAGCAAAGGUGCAAUAGAGCAGAUUCUUAGCCUCGCAUAUAACAGAUCAGACAUAGCAAACAGAGUGACACAUCAUUGAUAAAUUUGCUGAGAGAGGACUUUGCUAUGACAAGUUGGAAGCUGGUAUAUUGACAUUUGUCAUUUCUUCUGUUAUACUUGGGCAUCUGGUAUAGAUUACACUUGAUCCUUAAUAUCUCUUCUAAGACUGGUUUGAUGGAUGAAAUUGGGUGUGUGGAUGGAACAAAACUCACUUAGCUGGUGUGUGGAUGCCGUUCUUUGUGGUUUUAGCAGGAAGUAAAUUCAAUCAGCCUAUCAAGACAAGAAUCAACGAGGCUGAGCAAGUGGUGCAUCACAAUUCACAUGGACAAGUUCUUCGGCGGUGCUCCAGCCGUCUCUUUGAAAAGAACACUACUACACCGGGCGAGUCUCCAUUAGGUCCCUCGACGGGUACUCUUCAAUCGGGGACUGCCCCUAUGACGAUGCCCACGUUUGAUGGUCCGGAUGCUAUUUCCUGGCUAGCAAGAGCUGAACAGUAUUUUUUGAUCAACAACACUCCGGCAGCAGAUCAGGAACUGUUGAAACGUUUCGGGUGAUAAUAUGGCUUUGGACGGUUACGAGGCUUUCGCGCAGUGUUGUCAAAAUGGCGCUCGGGUCGCCCGGGUCGCCCGGGUCGAGACCGCCACCGCCCCAACAUGGGUGGGUUGAUCGAGGUACGGGGUCGCCCCGGGUCGCUGGGUCGAGAGGGUCGCUGGGUCGAGUACAGGUAAUUCCUAAAACCUUUAUUCUCUAAAUCUUUUCCUUUUUUAAUGCUGAUUUGUUUUUACUAAAAUAAACAUAAGUAUAAAAGUAAAACUUACCUAAAAGUACGCUGAUUUUCUCAAAUCUUUCACACUUUUGUUCAAUAUUUACCCCAAUUUCAUAUCCAACUGUUAUUUUUAAUUGGCUGCUUCUGUCUUUAAGUGACUAUUUUAUUAAAAUAAUUGAACUCUAAACACGGUGAAGUUUUGCAAUAGGAAAUAUAAUCCUCAUUCUGUUAAAAAAAAGCACACGUUUUUUCUCAAUCUCUAUCUAUAUAUAUGCAUGAACCCAGCGUUGUUAGGGUCGAGGGUCGCACCGGGUCGAUAAGGUGAAAAUUCGGGUCGCGGGUCGACGAGUCGACUGGGUCGAGAGACCCACUAAUCUAGGCUAAUUUUUUUGCCUUUUAAUAUUAAAUCAAAUAAAUAUAUUACUCUAAUGUUUA